RNAcentral lists this long non-coding RNA (898 nucleotides) under Anas platyrhynchos platyrhynchos (common mallard). RNAcentral's name for it is "lncRNA (ENSAPLG00000024604.1)". Lineage: Eukaryota; Metazoa; Chordata; Aves; Anseriformes; Anatidae. The record is from RNAcentral.
UUUUGAUGUGUAGAAAUAUUUAUAAUGAUCAACUCUGUACAUUUAAGUUACCAACUUCAUUUCUUUUAGGAUGUUUCAUUAAUUUCCAUAUGCACUUCAGGAAAAAUCUGCCUAAGGAGGAGUAUAGAAGGGUAUCCACAAAUAUGUCCACUGACUUGUGUUUGAGCUGACUCCUGGAAAAAAGAGUGGCUAUUUGUACAGCUUCUGAGUUAGGGAGGAAGGCCUAUAUAGCCAGUGUGAAGUCUCUUUCCAAGGACUCAUGUGGAGAUUAACGUUGAAAUUAUACAGAAUUAAGAAAGAACAAGUGGAAAACACAAAACAAAGAAAGAAACCAGUCUUCAUUGUUUUGGUUAACUUCACAGAAGAUUACAGCCGGGAUGAGGACAUUUGUCCAGGAACUACUGUAAUAAGGCUACCAAUUAAUAGGGCACUGGACAGUUAUCAAAGAGUAGACAAUAUUAUUUAUGCUGACAUAACCUAUGUUGGAGCCAUGAACCUGAUGUGAAUUGCUUUUCAAUCUGUCAGUUCUCUCAGCCACCUUGUCAUCAUGUGCUGUCUCCUGCCUGCUUUCUGUUCAUUACCCAAAUUGAUAAGUGUCCAGGAGAACCUUUAAUUUACUUGCAAAUAUUUUUCUUCAUGUCUUGAAAUGAUGUGUUUACACUUACCUUUACUAAUGAGUCACUUCUGCUUUACUACAUUUUGAAUGGCUUUCCUUUACUUUAAUGUAAUUUAUCCUGUUCCUAUAUCCUGAAGUGUCAGGUACUGUUGAGAAAACUUGUAAGUGCAAUUGCUAAAAAUUGGCAUCUUUUGACUUUCCCAUAUGGCCCUCUAACUUUUACUUCUCCAGAUAUUUAAUUUUAGGGAAGAAAUAAACAAUUCUCCUUUCCAAAUAUUCUCA